RNAcentral lists this long non-coding RNA (1495 nucleotides) under Mus musculus (house mouse). Its description in RNAcentral is "long non-coding RNA chr4:108538264-108539759". Lineage: Eukaryota; Metazoa; Chordata; Mammalia; Rodentia; Muridae. The record is from RNAcentral.
UUUCAGGUAUAGCACCACACCACACCAUGAUUUGGCUUUUGGAGUGUUGUUUUGCUUUUGUAGUUCUGGGGAUUGAACCUUUAGGCUAGGGCUCUCCCACCAAACUGAGUUCCUAACCCAUGGAGGGUUUUUUGUUGUUGAUCAAUAAUACAUUCAGGUCAAAAGGAACUUUCUUAAGCAGAGUUUUUUUUUCUGUUCCAGCAAAUCGUAAGUCCAAGAACAUUCUUUACAUAAAAAUUAACAGUAAAAGAGAUUUAGGAGUGUUGUUCUUAGUUGAUUACAUGAAAAUUUAUCCUUUCUUAAACUAUAUCAACUGGAAAAUUAAAUUUAAUCAAAGAACCUUGAGGACAUUAUACCAAAUGAGGUAAGCCAGUUAAUAAAGAGACCAUAGUAUUUGAUUCUAAUUAGGCUCUUAGAAUAAUCAAAUUCAUAGAUACGUGAAGUAGAGUGGUGGAUGGUGGUUGCCACCACUGGGGAAGGGAUGCAUGGAAAAAUAACAGUUUAACACACAUGCUUGUAGUUUUACAAGAAAACAAAAAAAAAAAAAAAUACUAAAUGACUGGUGAUGGUAGCUCAGCACUUAAUACCAAUGAACCAAAUAUUUAUGAUAGUAAAUUUUGCUUUAACACAACUAAAAAAAAGUAUAAUUUUGGUAUAUGGGUAGAUCAUAACUAUUAUAACAAAGUAGACAUGGGAAUUUUCAAGUUUCUUAUACAAAUAUGAUUUUGGGUUUUUGUUUAUUUUUUGUUUUGGGUACUAGGAAUUGAAAUUGGGUCUCCUACAUGUUAAGCAGGCAGCACCAACCACACUACUCCAUCCCUAGCCUUAACAUCUAAAUCUCAUAUGAUAACAUUUUUACUUUAGCCUCUUCCAACUUUCACUUUUUUGAGAGCAUAAACUCAGGCCUUGUACAUGUUAGGCAAAUACUCGAUCACUGCUUUUCAAUUCCAGUUCUAGAGUCACUGUCUUAUCUGCAUCCUGUUUCACAGUCAGUAGGAUUACAGGAGCAUAUAGCAUCAUGCCCAGCUUUUUAUGUGGGUUCUGUGAGCCCAGUGCUUCACCGACUGAGCCAUCUCUCCAAGUCUUUGCUGUUUUUGUCUUAGAAAAAAACAUAAUGUGCACUGAACAAUUUUAGGUGAUUGUAUUUGUUUAAAUUAUAUAUAAGUGUUCCCAAGAUACUUAAUUAGUUUAAUGUUUGCAAAUUUUAUCUUUAACAUACAGAAUGGGGGCUGUGGAAAUAACACCUAAGAGGUAAUAGGUUUCUCUUUAAGUUGUAAAAAAAUUAUAAAACUGAUUAUGGUAAAAGUCACACAUUUUUACAUAUGCCAAAACCCACUGAACCAUAAAAAUUUAAGUGUGAAAUUUACGGCCUGUGAAUAAAAUAUCAAGGAAGUUAUCUUAUGUAGUUGAAGUAGUAAAAACCAUGAAAGCUAUGAUGUCUCAGCACUUGACAGGUCUUUAUUUCAUUUUAAUAAAGUUUUAUUCCCCAAUUGUG